AGAAUCAACGCUGGCGGCGUGCCUAACACAUGCAAGUCGCACGAGAAAGGGUAGCAAUACCUGAGUACAGUGGCGCACGGGUGAGUAACACGUGAAUAAUCUACCUCCGAGUGGGGAAUAACUGAGAGAAAUCUUAGCUAAUACCGCAUAACACUUACGAGUCAAAGCAGCAAUGCGCUUGGAGAGGAGUUCGCGGCCGAUUAGUUAGUUGGCGGGGUAAUGGCCCACCAAGACGAUGAUCGGUAUCCGGCCUGAGAGGGCGCACGGACACACUGGAACUGAAACACGGUCCAGACUCCUACGGGAGGCAGCAGUGGGGAAUUUUGCGCAAUGGGGGAAACCCUGACGCAGCAACGCCGCGUGGAGGAUGAAGCCCCGUUGGGGUGUAAACUCCUUUCGAUCGGGAGAUAAUGACGGUACCGAUAUAAGAGCCCCGGCUAACUUCGUGCCAGCAGCCGC
Molecule: ribosomal RNA, 459 nt
Filed under: uncultured bacterium
Lineage: Bacteria
Description: SSU rRNA
Rfam family: Bacterial small subunit ribosomal RNA
Source: RNAcentral